Molecule: non-coding RNA, 631 nt
Organism: Pelobates cultripes (western spadefoot toad)
Lineage: Eukaryota; Metazoa; Chordata; Amphibia; Anura; Pelobatidae
Source: the annotation of a GenBank genome assembly
AAUGGAUUGAUUGUGAAUGUGUAAUUUUAUGUGAAUGUGAUGUAUGGUUUUAGAGUUAUGAAAGUUGGGUAGAAAGUAUGUUAACUGUAUGUAUAAUUGAGUUUCCUCUCAGGAUAAGGGAAGGGAAUAUGUGGGAUGUAACUGUGAUGUUAUUGGUUGUUUUAUACCUCCCUGUGGGCGGUCCUGUAAUUGAAAACACUGUAAUAAAAACCAGGCUGGGUGUGCCAGCACCUCAGAUUCUGCUUAACCCUCAAAACGAAGUGUCGUCUCGUUAUUGGGGGAAUUGGAUUGUGUGCUGACUGCCAGGAGUAUAAGCCGUUUGUAUUGCUUUUCCUGUUCGGCUGCUUCCAGGGUUCCUGUGUCUGCUGUUCGAGAGUUGGUGAGUACGUGCAGUUUGGAGUUCAGGAGGUUGGUGAUUGCAGUAGCUGCUGGUCUAUGGGAAAGGGGAUUAUCGCCUAAACCGAUUUUAUCCCCUUGUGAGAGAAACGGUCCGUUACAAUUGGUGGCAAGCAGCGGGAUCGUUCCUACAACCAGAAGGACAGCUACAAGACAACACCAGUGCCUGGAUUACAAUUGAGGGCAACGUUAGUACCCGUACAGCGACCCUAUCUACAAAGGAACCAACUUCGGC